CCUACGGGUGGCAGCAGUGAGGAAUAUUGGUCAAUGGACGAGAGUCUGAACCAGCCAAGUAGCGUGAAGGAUGACUGCCCUAUGGGUUGUAAACUUCUUUUAUAUGGGAAUAAAACGUUCCACGUGUGGCAUUUUGUAUGUACCAUAUGAAUAAGGAUCGGCUAACUCCGUGCCAGCAGCCGCGGUAAUACGGAGGAUCCGAGCGUUAUCCGGAUUUAUUGGGUUUAAAGGGAGCGUAGGUGGAUUGUUAAGUCAGUUGUGAAAGUCUGGGGCUCAACCGUAAAAUUGCAGUUGAAACUGGCAGGCUUGAGUAGAGUAGAGGUGGGCGGAAUUCGUGGUGUAGCGGUGAAAUGCUUAGAGAUCACGAAGAACUCCGAUUGCGAAGGCAGUUCACUGGACUGCAACUGACACUGAGGCUCGAAAGUGUGGGUAUCAAACAGGAUUAGAUACCCGAGUAGUC
RNAcentral lists this ribosomal RNA (460 nucleotides) under uncultured bacterium. RNAcentral describes it as "partial 16S ribosomal RNA". It matches the Rfam family "Bacterial small subunit ribosomal RNA", at positions 338 to 795 of the family's 1533-position model. The record is from RNAcentral.